RNAcentral lists this long non-coding RNA (1543 nucleotides) under Salvia miltiorrhiza (redroot sage). RNAcentral describes it as "long non-coding RNA (SMIL_LNC007855)". Lineage: Eukaryota; Viridiplantae; Streptophyta; Magnoliopsida; Lamiales; Lamiaceae. The record is from RNAcentral.
UUAAUUGUACUCGGCCUCAAAUAAAUAGAAUUCUCCUAUAAUUUAAAAAUAAAAAUCAUUAAAACAAAUUUAUUUAAAUGUAACACUUACAAUUGUAAAAUAAUAUUAAAACACAAACUUUCCCUUCUUAUAUAUAUAAUCUAUUUUUCCAUUCUGUAUAAUAUUCUUUCAUGAAAAAUACAACACAUUAUCUUGUCAAGUCAGUUUUAGCUUUUAAUAAACCAACAUGUCAAUUUCUCCAAUCAUAGUUGCUUUUUUUUUUGUAAGUACAUUAUUAUUUAGCUUAUUUAUACAACGAACCCCUAGACCUCUUUUAUAACAUUUUGAGCCAAUUUAUUGUAAUAAUUAUUAAGCAUAUAUAUAACAAUUCUAACAACAAUGAAAACAUUAUAUCUCCUCUAAAAAAUAAAACAUUCAUCUUUCAUAUCACAUUCCAAUAUUAAUUCUUAAAUAAUGAUAAUAUAUAAUGAACACGUUACAAGGUAUUAUUCUCAAGGAAUUCUCAAGGUACACUUUAUUCUGUUAACUUUGCACCAUUUUAUAGCAACAAAACUAUCUAAUCUUUUCAUUUUUCAACUCUAAAGUUGGUUUAUUAUAUUCGAAUAGUCACUUUGCACCAUUUUAUUUUUCACUUUAAUUUGCACCAUUUUAUUGCACAUACUAUAAAGCAAGUUGGCUACAUAAAUCAAUUUAAUUUUAGUGUUACGUAUAAAUUAACUUACGAAACAGGACAUCACACUAAAUUAUGUUCUAAAUUUUGAAUUGAAGUCAAAUUUUGCAAUAUGGACUGCACUAAUAUCAACUAUGCUAUAUACACAUUGGGUUUCGAAUCUAUUAAUGAUUUUCUUAAUAACCCAAUUCAAUUAUAUUAUUACUAAUCUCACAUUAGUUAUUUGAAUUUCUCCAACUCAAAUAGACAUAAACAAGUACAAUCACGCUUGUUAUCUAUUUAAUCUAAAAUAUAUACCAUCAGAUAACUUAGAAUACCGCCGGAAAAGAAAAAANUACCUCCGGAAAAGCUUAAAAUACCAUCGACCGAUAUUUUCAAGUAUUCUAACAAUAUACUCAAAUCACGAUGGUAUUUUUGAUUUGCAACGACGGUAUUACAAUUUUAUGCGACGGUAUUACAAUUAUUUACGGCGGUAUUAAAAUCGACUAACUAAUAAUACCUCCUGCGGUGCAUCCAUGACGGAAAUGGAGAGAAGCUGACGAGAUUUCAGGUGGUAGAAAGCUGAUACUUCGCCGGUAGAGAUCCGAGAGGGAGUCAAAGAACGUCCACCGGAAAAACGGAGCCGGCUAGGAUCUGAGAGGCUGAGCUCGUUCAGAGCCUGAGUUCGCCGGUUGAAAGCUUGAGUUUGUUGAAAGGCGAGAGGGAGAUGACAACAGACGAGAGGGAGACGGCGAGAGGCGACAGAAAGCUUGAGUUUGUUGAAAGGCGAGAGGGAGACGACAACAGACGAGAGGGAGACGGCGAGAGGCGACAGGGAGAUGGCGAGGCGGAGAUGGCGAAGACGGCGAGGCGAAGGGAGACGGCUUGCGGCGG